This 2557-nucleotide ribosomal RNA is filed under the name human gut metagenome. RNAcentral's name for it is "bacterial LSU rRNA". It matches the Rfam family "Bacterial large subunit ribosomal RNA". The record is from RNAcentral.
UCAAGCUAGAAAGAGCGCAAGGGGAAUGCCUUGGCAUCGAGAGCCGAAGAAGGACGUGACAAGCUGCGAUAAGUCUGGGGGAGCCGCACAUAGGCUUUGAUCCCGGAAUUUCCGAAUGGGGAAACCCGGCAGAGCAAUACUCUGUCAGCGUGCGUUGAAUAAAAUAGGCGUACGUGGGGAACCGCCUGAACUGAAACAUCUAAGUAGGGCGAGGAAGAGAAAUCAACCGAGAUUCCGCAAGUAGUGGCGAGCGAACGCGGAAGAGGGCAAACCAGAGGAUUUAUUCUCUGGGGUUGUGGACUUGCACACGGGAGACUAGGUUAGCUGAAUGGUAUGGGAAGGCCAUCCACAGAGGGUGAGAGACCCGUAAGCGAAAACCGAAGUCUUUCAGCGAGGAUCCAGAGUACCGCCGGACACGUGAAACCCGGUGGGAAGCAGGGGGGACCACCCUCCAACCCUAAAUACUACUCGAUGACCGAUAGAGGAGCAGUACCGUGAGGGAAAGGUGAAAAGGACCCCGGGAGGGGAGUGAAAGAGAACCUGAAACCUUGUGCUUACAAGCACUCAAAGCACGUUAAAGUGUGAUGAGGUACUUUUUGUAGAACGGUCCGGCGAGUUAUUGUAUGUAGCGAGCUUAAGGUGUUCAGCACCGGAGGCGAAGCGAGAGCGAGUCUGAAUAGGGCGACUGAGUUGCAUGCAAUAGACCCGAAACCAGGUGACCUAUCCAUGGGCAGGUUGAAGUGGGGGUAAAACCCCAUGGAGGACCGAACCGACCCCCGUUGCAAUGGUGGCGGAUGACCUGUGGAUAGCGGAGAAAUUCUAAUCGAACUUGGAGAUAGCUGGUUCUCCCCGAAAUAGCUUUAGGGCUAGCGUUGAUUUAGAUUACCGGAGGUAAAGCACUGAAUGGGCUAGGGGCUGAUAAAGUUACUGAACCCUAUCAAACUAAGAAUGCCGGCAAAUUGAUGAUCAGCAGUCAGACUACGUGAGAUAAGUCUCGUGGUCAAAAGGGAAACAGCCCAGACCCACAGCUAAGGUCCCAAAUAUACGCUAAGUGGAAAACGAUGUGGAAUUGCGAAAACAACCAGGAUGUUGGCUUAGAAGCAGCCACUCAUUAAAAGAGUGCGUAAUAGCUCACUGGUCGAGUGGUUCUGCGCGGAAAAUGUAACGGGGCUAAGCGUAUAACCGAAGCUUGGGAUGCAGCAAUGCAUGGUAGGGGAGCGUCGAAUACGGGGUGAAGUCGUAGCGGAAGCAGCGGUGGACUGUAUUCGAGUGAGAAUGCCGGAAUGAGUAGCGAGAAUUAUGUGGGAAUCAUAAUGGCCGAAAAUCUAAGGUUUCUUGGGGAAGGUUCGUCCGCCCAAGGUAAGCCGGGAGCUAAGGCGAGGCCGAAAGGCGUAGUCGAUGCACAUACGGUUGAAAUUCCGUAGCCACCGAACCUUAAGUACACUGACACAUGGAGAUAGCGGGACCCGGGCGUUGGUUGACCCGGGCGUAAGGGACCGAACUUUAGUAGGGAAGUCCGCGAUGCUCUGUGGCGAGAAAAGGUGUAUGGUAUGCUAAGGUGCCCGUACCGCAAACCGACACAGGUAGAUGAGGAGAGAAUCCUAAGGCCAACGGGAGAAGGGUUGUUAAGGAACUCGGCAAAAUUACCCCGUAACUUCGGGAUAAGGGGAGCCCCCUACGGGGGGCCGCAGAGAAUAGGCCCAAGCGACUGUUUACCAAAAACACAGGUCUAUGCUAAAUCGAAAGAUGACGUAUAUGGGCUGACGCCUGCCCGGUGCUGGAAGGUUAAGAGGAGAGCUUAGCGCAAGCGAAGGUUUGAAUUGAAGCCCCAGUAAACGGCGGCCGUAACUAUAACGGUCCUAAGGUAGCGAAAUUCCUUGUCAGGUAAGUUCUGACCCGCACGAAAGGCGUAACGAUUUGGGCGCUGUCUCAGCUGUAGACUCGGUGAAGUCUUAGUACCUGUGAAGAUGCAGGUUACCCGCGACUAGACGGAAAGACCCCAUGGAGCUUCACUGCAGGUUGAUAUUGGGAUUUGAUGCAGCAUGUACAGGAUAGGUAGGAGGCAAAGAGAUGGAUACGCCAGUAUUCAAGGAGCCGCUGUUGGGAUACUACCCCUGUUGUAUUGGAUUUCUAACCGGACGACGUAGAGCCGUUGACGGGACAGUGUCAGUCGGGCAGUUUGACUGGGGCGGUCGCCUCCCAAAGAGUAACGGAGGCGCCCAAAGAUACCCUCAGCUUGGAUGGAAACCAAGCGCAGAGUGCAAAGGCAAAAGGGUGUUUGACUGCGAGACCCACAAGUCGAGCAGGGACGAAAGUCGGGCUUAGUGAUCCGGCGGUGCUGAAUGGAAAGGCCGUCGCUCAACGGAUAAAAGCUACCCUGGGGAUAACAGGCUGAUCUCCCCCAAGAGUUCACAUCGACGGGGAGGUUUGGCACCUCGAUGUCGGCUCAUCGCAUCCUGGAGCUGAAGUCGGUUCCAAGGGUUGGGCUGUUCGCCCAUUAAAGCGGUACGCGAGCUGGGUUCAGAACGUCGUGAGACAGUUCGGUCCCUAUCCGGCG